GGAUGCAAUCAUACCAGCACUAAAGCACCGGAUCCCAUCAGAACUCCGAAGUUAAGUGUGCUUGGGCGAGAGUAGUACUAGGAUGGGUGACCUCUUGGGAUGUCCUCGUGUUGCAUUCC
Molecule: ribosomal RNA, 119 nt
Filed under: Triticum aestivum (bread wheat)
Lineage: Eukaryota; Viridiplantae; Streptophyta; Magnoliopsida; Poales; Poaceae
Source: RNAcentral